This 444-nucleotide ribosomal RNA is filed under the name uncultured bacterium. RNAcentral's name for it is "partial 16S ribosomal RNA". It matches the Rfam family "Bacterial small subunit ribosomal RNA", at positions 354 to 796 of the family's 1533-position model. The record is from RNAcentral.
GUGAGGAAUAUUGGUCAAUGGGCGGGAGCCUGAACCAGCCAAGUCGCGUGAAGGAAGAAGGAUCUAUGGUUCGUAAACUUCUUUUGCAGGGGAAUAAAGUGCAGGACGUGUCCUGUUUUGUAUGUACCCUGAGAAUAAGGAUCGGCUAACUCCGUGCCAGCAGCCGCGGUAAUACGGAGGAUCCGAGCGUUAUCCGGAUUUAUUGGGUUUAAAGGGUGCGUAGGUGGUUUGAUAAGUCAGCGGUGAAAGUUUGCAGCUUAACUGUAAAAUGCCGUUGAAACUGUCGGACUUGAGUGUAAAUGAGGUAGGCGGAAUGCGUGGUGUAGCGGUGAAAUGCAUAGAUAUCACGCAGAACUCCGAUUGCGAAGGCAGCUUACUAAGCUACAACUGACACUGAAGCACGAAAGCGUGGGGAUCAAACAGGAUUAGAUACCCUGGUAGUCC